Molecule: ribosomal RNA, 474 nt
Filed under: uncultured bacterium
Lineage: Bacteria
Description: bacterial SSU rRNA
Rfam family: Bacterial small subunit ribosomal RNA
Source: RNAcentral
AACGAACGCUGGUGGCGUGUUUUAUACAUGCAAGUCGAGCGAGGACGGUAGCAAUACCGAGCCGAGCGGCGAACGGGUGAGUAACGCGUAAGCAAUCUGCCCCACAAUCGGGAACAACCGUGCCAACGCGCGGCUAAUGCCGGAUAUUGUAGUCUACUGCAUAGUAGGCCAACGAAAGAUUUAUUGUUGUGGGAUGAGCUUGCGUCCGAUUAGCUAGUUGGCGGGGUAAUAGCCCACCAAGGCGACGAUCGGUAGCCGGCCUGAGAGGGUGAUCGGCCACAUUGGGACUGAGAUACGGCCCAGACUCCUACGGGAGGCAGCAGUAGGGAAUAUUGCGCAAUGGGGGGAACCCUGACGCAGCAACGCCACGUGUGGGAAGAAGCAUUUCGGUGUGUAAACCACUGUCGGAAAGGAAUAACGGAAGACUUCGGCUUUAUGAAUGUACUUUUAGAGGAAGCACCGGCAAACUUCGUG